AUUGAACGCUGGCGGCAGGCCUAACACAUGCAAGUCGAGCGCGAAAGGCUUUCGGGCUGAGUAGAGCGGCGGACGGGUGAGUAACGCGUAGGAAUCUACCUGGUAGUGGGGGACAACUUGGGGAAACUCAAGCUAAUACCGCAUACGCCCUAUGGGGGAAAGCGGGGGACCUUCGGGCCUCGCGCUAUCAGAUGAGCCUGCGUAGGAUUAGCUAGUUGGUGAGGUAAAGGCUCACCAAGGCGACGAUCCUUAGCUGGUCUGAGAGGAUGAUCAGCCACACUGGGACUGAGACACGGCCCAGACUCCUACGGGAGGCAG
Molecule: ribosomal RNA, 318 nt
Filed under: uncultured Pseudomonadota bacterium
Lineage: Bacteria; Pseudomonadati; Pseudomonadota
Description: bacterial SSU rRNA
Rfam family: Bacterial small subunit ribosomal RNA
Source: RNAcentral